AGUGAACGCUGGCGGUAGGCCUAACACAUGCGAGUCGAACGGCAGCACAGUAAGAGCUUGCUCUUACGGGUGGCGAGUGGCGGACGGGUGAGGAAUACAUCGGAAUCUACUUUUUCGUGGGGGAUAACGUAGGGAAACUUACGCUAAUACCGCAUACGACCUACGGGUGAAAGCAGGGGAUCUUCGGACCUUGCGCGAUUGAAUGAGCCGAUGUCGGAUUAGCUAGUUGGCGGGGUAAAGGCCCACCAAGGCGACGAUCCGUAGCUGGUCUGAGAGGAUGAUCAGCCACACUGGAACUGAGACACGGUCCAGACUCCUACGGGAGGCAGCAGUGGGGAAUAUUGGACAAUGGGCGCAAGCCUGAUCCAGCCAUACCGCGUGGGUGAAGAAGGCCUUCGGGUUGUAAAGCCCUUUUGCUGGGAAAGAAAAGCAGCAGGUUAAUACCCCGCUGUUCUGACGGUACCCAAAGAAUAAGCACCGGCUAACUUCGUG
Molecule: ribosomal RNA, 492 nt
Filed under: uncultured bacterium
Lineage: Bacteria
Description: partial 16S ribosomal RNA
Rfam family: Bacterial small subunit ribosomal RNA
Source: RNAcentral